AAUGUGCACGAUAGGCAAUUGCUGUUGG
Molecule: non-coding RNA, 28 nt
Filed under: Cricetulus griseus (Chinese hamster)
Lineage: Eukaryota; Metazoa; Chordata; Mammalia; Rodentia; Cricetidae
Source: RNAcentral